UUCAUUCAUAGACUCAUUUAUUGAAGGCUGUCUGUGUAACAGGCACAAUCCUAGGUGCUUGGGAUAUAGCAGUGAACAAGAGACAAACCCCCUACUAUCAUGGUACUUACAUUUUUGUGGGCUGGAUAAUAAACAAGGGAUGUAAACAGCUGGAAAGAGCUUUGCUUCAAUCAUUACAACAAGGAAACUACAAACUUCUACCGUACAACAAGGAAAUGGACAAACUACAAAAUAAUUUUUCUAGGACCCUUCAGAGAACUGAGGUCACAGGGCAACCAAGUAAUCUUAAAUCUGGGGAAAGAAAGAUGCCAGCUGAGAGAAACAGGACUCAAGCUUUACUUACCU
RNAcentral lists this long non-coding RNA (345 nucleotides) under Pan troglodytes (chimpanzee). RNAcentral's name for it is "long non-coding RNA NONPTRT008507". The record is from RNAcentral. Lineage: Eukaryota; Metazoa; Chordata; Mammalia; Primates; Hominidae.